Felis catus (domestic cat) is the source of this 1634-nucleotide long non-coding RNA. RefSeq lists it as uncharacterized. The transcript is spliced from 3 exons. Lineage: Eukaryota; Metazoa; Chordata; Mammalia; Carnivora; Felidae. The record is from RefSeq and is a predicted model, not a curated record.
CAAAACAAAACAAAACAAAAAACAGAGGAACCUUAAAUGCAUACUGCUCAGUGAAAGAAGUCAAUCUAAAAAGGCUCCAGGUUGUAUGAUCCCAACUCUAGGACUUUUUCAAAAAGGCGAAACCAUGGAGACAAAGAAAACAUCAAUGGUUGCUAGGCAUUAGGGUGGGGGGAGGAAGGACUAGGUAGAACACAGAAGAUCUUUAGGGCAGGGAAACCAUUCUGUAGGAUACUAUCAUGGUGGAUGUACGUGUUGACAUGCUUACCAAAACUCAUAGAAUGGACAAGAGUGAACCCUAAUGUAAACCAUGAACUUCAGCUGAUCAGAAUGUAUCCAUGGCUCAUCAACUCUUACUGAUGUCUGCAAGGGAGAACUGUGGGUGGAGAGGGGUUAUAGGGGGAUUCUCUGUACUUCCUGUGCAAUUUUUCUCUUUCUCUUUUUGUAAACCCAAAAACGUUCUGGAGGAAAAUCUAUGAAAAUGACAAAAAAAAAAUUUUUUUUUUUUUUUUGUAAACCAAAGUUGAAAAGACAUGGAAGCCGGCCGAGUUGUCAUUUGCAGGCACGUUGGGAACGGGAGGUUCAAAUAAGGAAACCAAGAAUACCUUGCGUUCGGAGCUCAGCCAGGUAUGCUCAGUAGAGUGGUGAUAUCCACCCAUCACACGUGGGGAACGCUGAGCUUGGAGACUUUGACUUUGAGGCUAGACGUGGGCGCUCGGGCCAGCGGCUCUGCACAGGGCCGCCCGCCUCCACCUAUGUGCCUGGUCUUCCUCUGCAAGAAGGAAUCCGUGGAAGCGGCCCCGGGCCCAAAGCGAUGCUUCUCGAUGUCACGCUGAGCCGGGAUUUUAAUCUGGAAGUUUGAGACGUGCUUCGCAGUUCAGUUUGCAACCGGGUCACUCUUUUGCUUCCCAGGACAGCCAUCCCCGGGACAGACGUGAGGAGACUGCUCAGCCUGGUCCCUGAAGAGGUCUGACGGGCAGGCACUGAGGCCUGCCUGUGACCCCCCUGCUCCGCUCAGGGGUCUCCAGCAUACAGAGUGACAAGGUUACGUUGAGGACCUCCUGUGUGCCUCGCAGACGGGACGCCUGAUAGGUAGUCCUGGGCUACAUGGAAAUAAUCCCCGGGCUCAUGAAGUACGGAUUUUAUUUAGCAUGAAGAUGGCCAUUGAGUAAACAAAUGGAUUUGUAAUUAUGAAUCGUCGUAAGUGCUAUAAGAACAAAGAGCAGGAGGGAACUAUUUCGAUGGUGGAGUGAAUGACAGCAACUCCCCAGGCAGAGGGAUCCCUGGGUGUGAAGGCCGUAGGGUGGGAAAGGACUUAAUGAGUGAAGGGGGGAGAACGAAGGCCAGUGGAUCUGAGUGCGGUGAGCCCUGGGAUGCGGCAGGUGUGUGACGGCCAGAGGCUCGCGGGCUACCCCGGCCGGUAAAGGAGCUGCCGUCACGGGUGACCCCUUGGUCACUUGAAUGUGGCCCCUCUACACUGAGAUGUGUGGCACAUGUACCCACACACAGACUUUUAAAGACUUGGUGGAGAAAAAAAUGUGAAAGACCUCAGCAAGUUUUUAUACUGAUUGUACAUUGAAAUGAUAUUAUUUUGGAUAUACUAUAUUGGGUUAAAUAAAAUAUGUCAUUAAAGUUAA